UAAGGAAUAUUGGUCAAUGGACGCAAGUCUGAACCAGCCAUGCCGCGUGAAGGAUGAAGGUCCUCUGGAUUGUAAACUUCUUUUAUCUGGGACGAAAACGGGAUUUUUAUCUCAAUUGACGGUACCAGAGGAAUAAGCACCGGCUAACUCCGUGCCAGCAGCCGCGGUAAUACGGAGGGUGCGAGCGUUAUCCGGAUUUACUGGGUUUAAAGGGUGCGUAGGUGGGCUUAUAAGUCAGUGGUGAAAUCUCCGAGCUUAACUUGGAAACUGCCGUUGAUACUAUAGGUCUUGAAUUAUCUGGAGGUAAGCGGAAUAUGUCAUGUAGCGGUGAAAUGCUUAGAUAUGACAUAGAACACCAAUUGCGAAGGCAGCUUACUGCAUAUAAAUUGACGCUGAGGCACGAAAGCGUGGGGAUCAAACA
This 421-nucleotide ribosomal RNA is filed under the name uncultured bacterium. RNAcentral describes it as "bacterial SSU rRNA". It matches the Rfam family "Bacterial small subunit ribosomal RNA", at positions 355 to 774 of the family's 1533-position model. The record is from RNAcentral.